GGCCAGCUACAUCGACUAUCUCUCGUCGGAUAGUGGAAGACCGGAUCAAGAGACAUCGGUUGAGAGGAGAGGCGGCGGCGGUUCUUCCUUGGGUGAGCAAAUUUCUUGCCCGCCGCCUCUCUCGCCGUCCGUCGAGAUCGACAUUUCUUUGCUUUGAUCCGGCCAGCGAUGAUGGCCCCCUCUCACGCCCAUUGCCUAUCACCGUCGCGGCCUCCGCCGAGCCUUGGGAGCGUCAGCCUCGGCCGUUGCGGGGGGGCUCCUCGGGCCUCCUUCGUUGCUUCUUGUUCGGAGCUGCCGUGGAGGAAAUGGUGUAUUGCCUCCUUCCUUGCCUCUGUAGCAGCUGCCUUCGCAUCCAUGAGGAUGCUAAUAGGCCGUAUAUCACCAAAUCUUCAAUAGAUACUCUAUUUAAUGAGAAGAUAUGACCAGAUAAGAGGAUCUGCAAUGGGUAUAAGAGGCUCAUGAUCCCGAGAUUUACACCCACAGCUGCAAUGGAAUUCAAAAGCUUAGUUCUAAUAUCAGUUGUCUUUGGAAGUCUA
Musa acuminata AAA Group (dessert banana) is the source of this 536-nucleotide long non-coding RNA. RefSeq lists it as uncharacterized. The transcript has 2 exons. The record is from RefSeq and is a predicted model, not a curated record. NCBI's taxonomy places the organism in Eukaryota, Viridiplantae, Streptophyta, Magnoliopsida, Zingiberales, Musaceae.